Long non-coding RNA from Oncorhynchus tshawytscha (Chinook salmon), 444 nucleotides. RefSeq lists it as uncharacterized. The transcript has 2 exons. The record is from RefSeq and is a predicted model, not a curated record. Lineage: Eukaryota; Metazoa; Chordata; Actinopteri; Salmoniformes; Salmonidae.
ACACCUCAUCAGACUACUGACCCUACCCUGCUGUGGUCUGAGGUAACACCCUACACACACCUCAUCAGACUACUGACCCUACCCUGCUGUGGUCUGAGGUAACACACCUACACACACCUCAUCCACCUACUGACCCUACCCUGCUGUGGUCUGAGGUAACACACCUACACACACCUCAUCAGACUACUGACCCUACCCUGCUGUGGUCUGAGGUAACACACCUACACACACCUCAUCAGACUACUGACCCUACCCUGCUGUGGUCUGAGGUAACACACCUACACACACCUCAUCAGACUACUGACCCUACCCUGCUGUGGUCUGAGGUAACACCUACACACACCUCAUCCACCUACUGACCCUACCCUGCUGUGGUCUGAGGUAACACACCUACACACACCUCAUCAGACUACUGACCCUACCCUGCUGUGGUCUGAGGUAACA